ACCAGAGUGAGAUUGAUGGUUAUCUUAUUUUAUUACAAGUAUGUGAAUUAAAAAUUUUUAUUUUUAAUAUUCUAUUGAAUCUUAGAUUGGGUAUAUCAUUUAGAAUUUUUUAAAAAUUUAUAAAUUUGGAUAUAGAAGCAGAUGUCGACUAUCAGUCCAUUACGACGACAGUUGCUCGAGAUGCCACCAGAGCAGUAUGACCCUGAUGUUUCAUUCAGACUAGAUGGACCAU
This 232-nucleotide long non-coding RNA is filed under the name Elaeis guineensis (African oil palm). Its description in RNAcentral is "long non-coding RNA (EGUI_LNC064339)". Lineage: Eukaryota; Viridiplantae; Streptophyta; Magnoliopsida; Arecales; Arecaceae. The record is from RNAcentral.